RNAcentral lists this ribosomal RNA (567 nucleotides) under uncultured Glomeromycotina. RNAcentral's name for it is "SSU rRNA". It matches the Rfam family "Eukaryotic small subunit ribosomal RNA", at positions 548 to 1114 of the family's 1831-position model. Lineage: Eukaryota; Fungi; Glomeromycota. The record is from RNAcentral.
UUGGAGGGCAAGUCUGGUGCCAGCAGCCGCGGUAAUUCCAGCUCCAAUAGCGUAUAUUAAAGUUGUUGCAGUUAAAAAGCUCGUAGUUGAACUUCGGGGUUUACCCAUCGGUCAGGCUUAAUUGUCUGCACUGGUGAGAUAAAUCUCUACCUUCUGAGGAACUUUCAUGCCAUUUAUUUGGUGUGAUUGGAAAUCAGGACUAUUACCUUGAAAAAAUUAGAGUGUUUAAAGCAGGCUAACGUCUGAAUAUAUUAGCAUGGAAUAAUGAAAUAGGACGGCUUGGUUCUAUUUCGUUGGUUUCUAGGAUCACCGUAAUGAUUAAUAGGGAUAGUUGGGGGCAUUAGUAUUCAAUUGUCAGAGGUGAAAUUCUUGGAUUUAUUGAAGACUAACUACUGCGAAAGCAUUUGCCAAGGAUGUUUUCAUUAAUCAAGAACGAAAGUUAGGGGAUCGAAGACGAUCAGAUACCGUCGUAGUCUUAACCAUAAACUAUGCCGACUAGGGAUCGGACGAAGUUAAUUUUAUAAUGACGCGUUCGGCACCUUACGGGAAACCAAAGUGUUUGGGUUC